AUACGUAGGUGGCAAGCGUUGUCCGGAUUUACUGGGUGUAAAGGGCGCGUAGGCGGGAUGUCAAGUCAGAUGUGAAAUCUAUGGGCUCAACUCAUAAACUGCAUUUGAAACUGACGUUCUUGAGUAUCGGAGAGGCAAGCGGAAUUCCUAGUGUAGCGGUGAAAUGCGUAGAUAUUAGGAGGAACACCAGUGGCGAAGGCGGCUUGCUGGACGACAACUGACGCUGAGGCGCGAAAGCGUGGGGAGCAAACAGGAUUAGAUACCCGGGUAGUCCACGCCGUAAACGAUGAAUACUAGGUGUGGGGGGACUGACCCCCUCCGUGCCGCAGUUAACACAAUAAGUAUUCCACCUGGGGAGUACGGCCGCAAGGUUGAAACUCAAAUGAAUUGACGGGG
This 396-nucleotide ribosomal RNA is filed under the name uncultured bacterium. RNAcentral's name for it is "partial 16S ribosomal RNA". It matches the Rfam family "Bacterial small subunit ribosomal RNA", at positions 523 to 918 of the family's 1533-position model. The record is from RNAcentral.